RNAcentral lists this ribosomal RNA (263 nucleotides) under uncultured bacterium. RNAcentral describes it as "partial 16S ribosomal RNA". It matches the Rfam family "Bacterial small subunit ribosomal RNA", at positions 92 to 354 of the family's 1533-position model. The record is from RNAcentral.
UUAGUGGCGGACGGGUGAGUAACGCGUGGAAAACCUGCCGUAUACUGGGGGAUAACACUUAGAAAUAGGUGCCUAAUACCGCAUAAGCGCACAGCUUCGCAUGAAGCGGUGUGAAAAACUCUGGUGGUAUACGAUGGUUCCGCGUCUGAUUAGCUAGUUGGUGGGGUAAUGGCCUACCAAGGCAACGAUCAGUAGCCGGCCUGAGAGGGUGAACGGCCACAUUGGGACUGAGACACGGCCCAAACUCCUACGGAAGGCAGCAG